Molecule: small nuclear RNA, 18 nt
Filed under: Arabidopsis thaliana (thale cress)
Lineage: Eukaryota; Viridiplantae; Streptophyta; Magnoliopsida; Brassicales; Brassicaceae
Description: snRNA_12202
Source: RNAcentral
CUAACAAGGAUUCCCUUA